AAGCCUAUAGCCAAGCGGUAAGGCAAGGGACUUUGACUCCCUCAUCGUGUGUUCAAAUCACGCUAGGCUUGCCA
RNAcentral lists this transfer RNA (74 nucleotides) under Acholeplasmatales bacterium. Its description in RNAcentral is "tRNA-Gln". It matches the Rfam family "tRNA". Rfam says of the family: Transfer RNA (tRNA) molecules are approximately 80 nucleotides in length. Their secondary structure includes four short double-helical elements and three loops (D, anti-codon, and T loops). Further hydrogen bonds mediate the characteristic L-shaped molecular structure. tRNAs have two regions of fundamental functional importance: the anti-codon, which is responsible for specific mRNA codon recognition, and the 3' end, to which the tRNAs corresponding amino acid is attached (by aminoacyl-tRNA synthetases). tRNAs cope with the degeneracy of the genetic code in two manners: having more than one tRNA (with a specific anti-codon) for a particular amino acid; and 'wobble' base-pairing, i.e. permitting non-standard base-pairing at the 3rd anti-codon position. The record is from RNAcentral. Lineage: Bacteria; Bacillati; Mycoplasmatota; Mollicutes; Acholeplasmatales.